GCAAACUUGGUCAUUUAGAGGAAGUAAAAGUCGUAACAAGGUUUCCGUAGGUGAACCUGCGGAAGGAUCAUUACUGAGUGCGGACCUCCACGGUCCAACCUCCCACCCGUGUCUCUACAUACCCUGUUGCUUUGGCGGGCCCACUGGGAAACCAGUCGCCGGAGGACCCCCGUGUCCUCGGGCCCGUGCCCGCCGGAGCGCCUAUAGAACCCUUAUGAAGAUGGACUGUCUGAGUCUUAUUGAUAAUAAUCAAAACUUUCAACAAUGGAUCUCUUGGUUCCGGCAUCGAUGAAGAACGCAGC
RNAcentral lists this unclassified non-coding RNA (302 nucleotides) under uncultured fungus. RNAcentral describes it as "partial contains small subunit ribosomal RNA, internal transcribed spacer 1, and 5.8S ribosomal RNA". The stretch from base 1 to 73 matches the Rfam family "Eukaryotic small subunit ribosomal RNA", at positions 1759 to 1831 of the family's 1831-position model. The record is from RNAcentral. Lineage: Eukaryota; Fungi.